Molecule: ribosomal RNA, 652 nt
Filed under: Globigerinoides ruber albus
Lineage: Eukaryota; Foraminifera; Rotaliida; Globigerinidae
Description: SSU rRNA
Rfam family: Eukaryotic small subunit ribosomal RNA
Source: RNAcentral
GGGAAAUCUUACCGGGUCCGGACGUAUCGAGGAUUGACAGAUAGUUAUACAUGCCCUACAAGCAAGUAGGAGUCAGGUUUUAAACCUAAUGGCUCUUUCAUGAUUAUAUGAUAGGUGGUGCAUGGCCGUUCUUAGUUCGUGGAGUGAUCUGUCUGCUUAAUUGCGUUUCAAAUUUUUAACCGAGGACCGGGUUUUGGUUUGGCUAGUGGUCCUACGAUGACUGUGAACUGUCAUGUCUUCGGAUGUACGACUAUCGGUCUAGGAUCACAUGACUUGCCCCUGGGACUCUUUUGAACGCAACGGACGUGAUUGCAACCCCUUGUUGAGAUUAGAGAUAGUCUCGAUAUUCACUGGCCAAACUGGCUGCUUUAUGCAGUCUUGUUGAAUGGUGGAUAAACUCGGGGGACUGCUGACUAUAACCAUUUCUCAAAACAGAGGAAGGUUGCGGCAAUAACAGGUCUGUGAUGCCCUCAGAUGUCCCGGGCUGCACACGUGCUACAAUGAGUGGCGCAAUGUGCUAAUGUUUUAAGGGAUAAGCGUGCGGCCAGUAGAACGUCGGCAAUUGCCCUGGCGUCUUCUACCGCACGAUUAUCAGCCUUCCCUUAACAGGGCGGGCAACCUUUUCAAAAUACCGGUUUGAUGUUAAAGUAUA